GAAAUGCGAUAAGUAAUGUGAAUUGCAGAAUUCGUGAGUCAUCGAAUCCUUGAACGCACAUGGCGCCUGGGGGCCAUCUCCCAGGCACGCCUGUUUGAGUGUCGUUUUUCUUAAUCACUAUGCUUCAUGCAUCGUGGAUGUUGAGUAUUGACCUUUUAAUAGAGCGGUCAUUACUUGAAAUGCAUGGCUGGAUGUACCAUACUAAAUAAACCAUUGUAGGAUGCUAUGAGUUGCAUACUUCCUACAACGGGCAAUUGAUAACUGGUGACCAGCGCAAGGAAGCCUUACCCAAGCGACCUCAAAUCAGGCGAGACCACCCGCUGAACUUAA
RNAcentral lists this unclassified non-coding RNA (330 nucleotides) under uncultured Phyllosticta. RNAcentral describes it as "sequence contains ITS1". The stretch from base 1 to 104 matches the Rfam family "5.8S ribosomal RNA", at positions 50 to 154 of the family's 154-position model. The record is from RNAcentral. Lineage: Eukaryota; Fungi; Ascomycota; Dothideomycetes; Botryosphaeriales; Phyllostictaceae.